RNAcentral lists this ribosomal RNA (253 nucleotides) under uncultured bacterium. RNAcentral's name for it is "partial 16S ribosomal RNA". It matches the Rfam family "Bacterial small subunit ribosomal RNA", at positions 524 to 776 of the family's 1533-position model. The record is from RNAcentral.
UACAGAGACUGCAAGCGUUAUUCGGAUUCACUGGGCGUAAAGGGUGCGCAGGCGGCCGUGUGUGUGAGGCGUGAAAGCCCGGGGCUUAACCCCGGAAUUGCACCUCAAACUACAUGGCUAGAGCAUUGGAGAGGGUAGCGGAAUUCACGGUGUAGCAGUGAAAUGCGUAGAUAUCGUGAGGAACACCAGAGGCGAAGGCGGGCUACUGGGCCGAUACUGACGCUGAUGCGCGAAAGCCAGGGGAGCGAACGGG